GGCGGCGUGCUUAACACAUGCAAGUCGAGCGGAAAGGCCCUUCGGGGUACUCGAGCGGCGAACGGGUGAGUAACACGUGAGUAACCUGCCCUGGACUUUGGGAUAACCCUCGGAAACGGGGGCUAAUACCGAAUACGACAGCAGCUUCGCAUGAAGUCUGUGUGGAAAGUUUUUCGGUCUGGGAUGGACUCGCGGCCUAUCAGCUUGUUGGUGGGGUAAUGGCCUACCAAGGCGACGACGGGUAGCCGGCCUGAGAGGGCGACCGGCCACACUGGGACUGAGACACGGCCCAGACUCCUACGGGAGGCAGCAGUGGGGAAUAUUGCACAAUGGGCGGAAGCCUGAUGCAGCGACGCCGCGUGAGGGAUGACGGCCUUCGGGUUGUAAACCUCUUUCAGCAGGGACGAAGCGCAAGUGACGGUACCUGCAGAAGAAGCGCCGGCCAACUACGUGCCAGCAGCCGCGGUAAGACGUAGGGCGCGAGCGUUGUCCGGAUUUAUUGGGCGUAAAGAGCUCGUAGGCGGCUUGUCGCGUCGAAUGUGAAAUCUCAGGGCUCAACUCUGACAUUGCAUUCGAUACGGGCAGGCUAGAGUUCGGUAGGGGAGACUGGAAUUCCUGGUGUAGCGGUGAAAUGCGCAGAUAUCAGGAGGAACACCGGUGGCGAAGGCGGGUCUCUGGGCCGAUACUGACGCUGAGGAGCGAAAGCGUGGGGAGCGAACAGGAUUAGAUACCCUGGUAGUCCACGCUGUAAACGUUGGGCGCUAGGUGUGGGGACCCUCUCCGGGUUUCUGCGCCGCAGCUAACGCAUUAAGCGCCCCGCCUGGGGAGUACGGCCGC
RNAcentral lists this ribosomal RNA (837 nucleotides) under Actinoplanes sp. IM-2601. RNAcentral describes it as "bacterial SSU rRNA". It matches the Rfam family "Bacterial small subunit ribosomal RNA", at positions 38 to 889 of the family's 1533-position model. Lineage: Bacteria; Bacillati; Actinomycetota; Actinomycetes; Micromonosporales; Micromonosporaceae. The record is from RNAcentral.